AAGCAGAGGAACCCCAUCAAACUUGGAUUUUGUAAGUAGUUGCGAAUGAACACAAAUUUGAUCACUUUGGCAAUCUGUACACAUUGCUGUGUAACAAUUUGUAUACGUUGGCACAGUGCUAUCAAAGCUGCAUGCAAGUGUUUUUUGAAAGGAUACAACAUGGGAUGUGAUAUUCAUGUGUGUGUGCCUGCUUUGUCCACAGCCUGUGCUGUAUGAAUCACAUUUCUUGCAACUGAAAUGCUAAUGGCAUGGUAAAGUUCAUGUGACAUGACACAAGCUUGAGAUUCAUGAUGUGCAAGUACCAUGAGGGAAAUGUGAAAAGGACUUUGGAAAGAGAAUUAAAUAAAGCCUGCAUUUGCUGACAAUGAAAGCAAGUGUGGAUGUUCAUGUAAUUGUUACUGCAUCAAUCAAUGUUCAUCUUGGUUACUGCAUGCUUUAUAUUACAGCUCAGAACAUGAAGUGUGUGUAACAGCUCUGCUUUGAUUUUUCCCACAUGGGAUCAGUUGAAACAUUGUGAGAGCACUCUUCAGUUUCCUUAUGUACCCACCAGCUUUGUCCACUCGCGUGUUGGCACACAUGUAAUGAUGAUGUGUUUAUGCAAGAUACUUCUGUGCUCAACAACAUGUUGUGUCAAUCCUCACUUGAC
Molecule: ribosomal RNA, 646 nt
Filed under: Ostreopsis ovata
Lineage: Eukaryota; Dinophyceae; Peridiniales; Ostreopsidaceae
Description: eukaryotic LSU rRNA
Rfam family: Eukaryotic large subunit ribosomal RNA
Source: RNAcentral